CGAUGAUGAUCGAACUUGGAUGUAUAACCGGCAAGAUUCAAAGGGUCAUCUAACGGUGGAAUUUGGCAAUGGCGUCCCUCAUUUCUUGAAAUUUGCAAGAGAAACACUUGGAUGUGAAAGAAUAAAGUGCCCUUGCUUUGCAUGUUGUUGUUCAUUUUAUUUUUCGAUAGAUGAAGUGGGUAUUCACCUUUACAAAAACGGGUUCAUGGCUGAUUAUUCUAUUUGGCAUCAACAUGGUGAAAUCGAUAGCUCAAGAAAAAAAGCACGGAUAGAAAUUUUCGAAGAAUACGGCCAUACUACCUUUGAAGUUGGAUCUAGUAGUAACAAUCCAAUAGUCAAUAUGGUUCAUGAUGCAAGUAGACCAUUCGUUAUCGAUGACCAUCGUACUGAAUUACCCAAUGUUGAUGCNNNNNNNNNNNNNNNNNNNNNNNNNNNNNNNNNNNNNNNNNNNNNNNNNNNNNNNNNNNNNNNNNNNNNNNNNNNNNNNNNNNNNNNNNNNNNNNNNNNNNNNNNNNNNNNNNNNNNNNNNNNNNNNNNNNAUUGAUACAAUUUUGGAAUUAUGGGGUUCAUCCUUACCAGAAGUGAAUAAUCUUCCAAAUUCGUAUUAUAAAAUAAAGCAAAAAUUGAAUAAACUUGUGAUGAAAUAUGAAAAAAUAGAUGCAUGUCAGAAUAACUGCAUCUUAUAUCGCAAGGACCAUCAAAACAUAACUGAGUGUCCGCCAUGCAGACACCCUAGGUACAAGACAAUAACUUCUACUGGUCGAAAAAUACCAUUUAAAAUUUUAAGAUACUUUCCUUUGAUACCCAGACUUCAGCGGUUAUACCACUGUUCAAAUACUGCAAAGGAAAUGAUUUGGCACAGUCAAUGUCGGAAAGAUAUCGCCAAUGAAGUUAGACAUCCAGCCGAUGGUGAAGCUUGGAAAUAUUUUGAUCGUACUCACGAAAGUUUUGCCGCAGAUAUUCGAAAUGUGAGACUUGGUUUGUCCACUGAUGGAUUUAAUCCAUUUGGUCAUUCGAGCGUGCCGUACUCAUGUUGGCCAGUUAUCGUUACCCCAUACAACCUUCCACCGUGGAUAUGCAACACACAACCAUUCAUGUUCUUGACUAUUUUGAUCCCCGGUCCUCACAGUCCAAAGAAAGAAAUUGACAUUUAUCUAUCCCCUUUGAUUGAUGAAUUGAAAAUUUUAUGGAAUGACGGGAUCGAGACAUACGAUGCAUUUAAAAACAAAAUUUCUUAAUGAAAGCGGCACUUUUGUGGACUAUUUCAGACUUCCCAGCUUAUGCAAUGUUGUCCGGUUGGAGUACUCAUGGAAAAUUAGCAUGCCCAUAUUGUAUGGGAAACAACAAAGCAUUUUAUCUCAAAAAUAGUAGAAAGAUAUGUUUCUUUGAUUGUCAUCGUCAAUUUCUUUCGGCAAAUCAUCAAUAUCGGCGACAGAAGGAUAAAUUUAGUAGAAGGAUUGAAAAAGAUGUUACGAUUGAACGCCUUACAGGAUAUGAAUUAGAAUCUCACAUCCUUUCUCCGGAUGAAGUGAUUUUUGGAUUGUCGCACAAGGUCAAAGAAUCCAAUUUCGGGAAAACACAUAAUUGGACAAAGAGAAGUAUUUUUUUUGGAGUUCAUUAUUAAUACGUCAUAAUGUGGAUGUCAUGCAUGUCAUGCAUGUUGAGAAAAAUGUUUUUGAUAACAUCUUCAAUACAGUUAUGAAUGUCAAAGGCAAGACCAAAGACCAUUUAAAUGCUCGGAAAGACCUUCAGGAUAUGCGUAUUAGACAUAGCUUGCACCCACAAAUUUGUGACGACAAAAUACUUAUUCCCAAGGCCUCUUAUGCUCUUGAGAAGGACCAAAUCAAGAAAGUUUGUGAAUGGGUGAAGACAUUGCGUUUCCCUGAUGGUUAUGUUUCAAAUAUAUCUAGAUGUGCAAGCGUCAAAGAUUGCAAAUUCUCAGGUAUGAAGUCUCAUGACUGUCAUGUGUUCAUGCAAAGAUUAUUACCAAUUGCUUUCAUCGAUUUGUUACCAAAAGAAAUUAAUGAAGUAUUAACAGAAGUUAGCCAUUUCUUUAGUAAAAUUUGUUCCCCUACUUUGAAAGAAUCUGAAAUGAGAGCACUUGGAAAAUCCAUUGUCGAGACUAUGUGUAGAUUAGAGAAGAUUUUUCCUCCUUCUUUUUUUGAUUCAAUGGAGCAUAUGUUGAUACAUCUUCCGUAUGAGGCACAAGUCGAUGGACCCGUACAAUCAGAAGAUUGGAAAGAAGAUUGGAAAAAAAGAUCAGAAAAAGCAUCAGAAAAUAGGACAAACAAUCCAGAUUACAUGCCAUACACGGGUGGAUCUUGUUCAGUUGCGGCCACUCAUGAAAGAAUGGUAAAAAAACAUUUCUUUCAUAUAUUUUACAUUUAUCAUUCUAAUUUUUUUGAGUAUAACAAUCAGAAUGAAGAAGCUGGUUAUGAAGUCGGUCACUGUGAGGUUUAUAAGAAAACACAUAGUUUGGCUAAGACAAACGACUGGGCCCAUCCAAAGGGAGGAUGCUUCAUUGUAAGAAAAUUCGUUAGAAAUGCUUCGUUUUAAGAUAUUUAAGUCAUAUUUUUUUAUUAUUAUUGAUUUUCAUUUUUAUAGGCUGACUAUAAUGAGCUUCAAAGAAAUGCUAUGGAAGCAGAAAAUUCUGAGAUCAACUCAUCUAAUAGAUCACACACACUCCCUGAUAAUUUAGAAUUAUGGGUCAAAGCUACUAACGGAAAAAACAAAGGUCGUGUGCUUGGAACCAGAGCAAGUGAUCCAAUGCCAUUACAAAUUCCUGAUAAUAUGGCGACUUCACAGAACACAACGACGAAUUAUAUAGAAAUUCAACAACAAAAAAGUAAAGAAGACUUUGAUCGGGCAGUUCAAGAGGCCAUUAGAAAACAGAUGCCGGAUAUACUAAAGGAACUAAGGGAAGACUUACGUCGAGAGACGAUUGAGGUAAUUAGCAUUUAUAUAUAAAUCAAUAUUCAUAUUUUCUUUCUAAUUUCAAUUUUUUUUUACAUUAGGGUCAGUCGAGCCAAGGACACGACAACAU
RNAcentral lists this long non-coding RNA (3043 nucleotides) under Zostera marina. RNAcentral's name for it is "long non-coding RNA (ZMAR_LNC000459)". Lineage: Eukaryota; Viridiplantae; Streptophyta; Magnoliopsida; Alismatales; Zosteraceae. The record is from RNAcentral.